GCAGCAGUGAGGAAUAUUGGUCAAUGGGCGAGAGCCUGAACCAGCCAUGCCGCGUGCAGGAUGAAUGUUCUAUGAAUUGUAAACUGCUUUUAUACAGGAAGAAACCUACUUACGUGUAAGUAGCUGCCGGUACUGUAGGAAUAAGCACCGGUUAACUCCGUGCCAGCAGCCGCGGUAAUACGGAGAGUGCAAGCGUUAUCUCGAUUUAUUGGGUUUAAAGGGUACGUAGGCUGAAUAUUAAGUCAGUGGUGAAAUCCUGCGGCUCAACCGUAGAAUUGCCAUUUAUACUGAUAUUCUUGAAUAUAGUUGAGGUAGGCGGAAAGUGUAAUGUAGCGGUGAAAUGCUUAGAUAUUACACAGAACACCGAUUGCGAAGGCAGCUUACUAAAAUUAGAUUGACGAUGAUGUACGAAAGCGUGGGGAGCGAACAGGAUUAGAUACCCUUGUAGUCCACGAGUAAACGAUGAUCACUCGGAGUAGGGAUCAUGUCAGUGACUAAGCGAAAGCGUUAAGUUUCCAC
Molecule: ribosomal RNA, 519 nt
Filed under: uncultured bacterium
Lineage: Bacteria
Description: bacterial SSU rRNA
Rfam family: Bacterial small subunit ribosomal RNA
Source: RNAcentral